This 233-nucleotide ribosomal RNA is filed under the name uncultured bacterium. RNAcentral's name for it is "partial 16S ribosomal RNA". It matches the Rfam family "Bacterial small subunit ribosomal RNA", at positions 103 to 334 of the family's 1533-position model. The record is from RNAcentral.
CGGGUAGCGGAACACGUACAGAACCUUCCUUUAAGCGGGGGAUAGCCCAUAGAAAUGUGGAUUAAUACCCCAUAGUAAUAUUGAUUGGCAUCAAUUGGUAUUUAAAGAUUUAUCACUUAAAGAUGGCUGUGCGGCUGAUUAGGUAGUUGGUAGGGGUAACGGCCCACCAAGCCAUCGAUCAGUAACUGGUGUGAGAGCACGACCAGUCACACGGGCACUGAGACACGGGCCCG